UACGGGGGGGGCAAGCGUUGUUCGGAAUUACUGGGCGUAAAGGGCGCGUAGGCGGCCUGCUAAGUCGGACGUGAAAUCCCUCGGCUCAACCGGGGAACUGCGUCCGAUACUGGUGGGCUCGAAUCCGGGAGAGGGAUGUGGAAUUCCAGGUGUAGCGGUGAAAUGCGUAGAUAUCUGGAGGAACACCGGUGGCGAAGGCGGCAUCCUGGACCGGCAUUGACGCUGAGGAGCGAAAGCCAGGGGAGCAAACAGG
This 253-nucleotide ribosomal RNA is filed under the name uncultured bacterium. RNAcentral describes it as "partial 16S ribosomal RNA". It matches the Rfam family "Bacterial small subunit ribosomal RNA", at positions 524 to 776 of the family's 1533-position model. The record is from RNAcentral.